AUUCUACUCCCUCUGAUCCAUAUUACUUGUUGCUCAAACGGAUGUAUCUAGCACUGAAAUACAACUAGAUACAUCCGUUUGAGCGACAAAUAAUAUGGAUCGGAGGGAGUAUUAA
Non-coding RNA from Triticum aestivum (bread wheat), 115 nucleotides. Lineage: Eukaryota; Viridiplantae; Streptophyta; Magnoliopsida; Poales; Poaceae. The record is from Rfam.